RNAcentral lists this ribosomal RNA (454 nucleotides) under uncultured bacterium. RNAcentral describes it as "bacterial SSU rRNA". It matches the Rfam family "Bacterial small subunit ribosomal RNA", at positions 56 to 504 of the family's 1533-position model. The record is from RNAcentral.
UGCAAGUCGAACGGAAAGGCCCUGCUUGCAGGGUACUCGAGUGGCGAACGGGUGAGUAACACGUGGGUGAUCUGCCCUGCACUUCGGGAUAAGCCUGGGAAACUGGGUCUAAUACCGGAUAGGACCAUCGUUUAGUGUCGGUGGUGGAAAGUUUUUUCGGUGUGGGAUGAGCUCGCGGCCUAUCAGCUUGUUGGCGGGGUAACGGCCCACCAAGGCAACGAUGCGUAGCCGACCUGAGAGGGUGAUCGGCCACAUUGGGACUGAGACACGGCCCAAACUCCUACGGGAGGCAGCAGUAGGGAAUCUUCCGCAAUGGACGAAAGUCUGACGGAGCAACGCCGCGUGAGUGAAGAAGGCCUUCGGGUCGUAAAACUCUGUUGCCGGGGAAGAACAAGUGCCGUUCGAACAGGGCGGCGCCUUGACGGUACCCGGCCAGAAAGCCACGGCUAACUAC